This 327-nucleotide unclassified non-coding RNA is filed under the name Hevea brasiliensis (rubber tree). The record is from RNAcentral. Lineage: Eukaryota; Viridiplantae; Streptophyta; Magnoliopsida; Malpighiales; Euphorbiaceae.
UUGGGGGGGGGAACUUGCCCAAUAACUUAAAUGGAAUAAGCAUAUCCACAUGGUUGAAAAGCUUGACCAAGUCAAGGGUUUCACCAAACCCAUACCUCAUUACAAAGCUUUUAACCAUGUUUAGGACAUCUAUUUUCUUUAUAUGUAUGCAGAAAGUAAAUUUUCAGCUAAACAGAGAAAAAUAAUACAUUCAGUUGACCCCAGCUAAUUUGAGAUCGAGACACUGAGACUUAAUUUACUUAUGUAACAUAAACCGCAAACAAGCAGCAUAAAGAAUCCAUCUAGUUCAAAAUCAUUCAUAUCCAUGCCAUUCUAGCAUAUGGAUUA